GGGGGGGGCAAGCGUUGUUCGGAAUUACUGGGCGUAAAGGGUUCGUAGGUGGCCUACUAAGUCAGACGUGAAAUCCCUCAGCUUAACUGGGGAACUGCGUCUGAUACUGGGGGGCUUGAGGACAGGAGAGGAACGCGGAAUUCCAGGUGUAGCGGUGAAAUGCGUAGAUAUCUGGAGGAACACCGGUGGCGAAGGCGGCGUUCUGGACUGUUUCUGACACUGAGGAACGAAAGCCAGGGGAGCAAACGGGAUUAGAUACCCCGGUAGUCCUGGCCCUAAACGAUGAAUGCUUGGUGUGGCGGGUAUCGAUCCCUGCCGUGCCGCAGUUAACGCGUUAAGCAUUCCGCCUGGGGAGUACGGUCGCAAGGCUG
Molecule: ribosomal RNA, 371 nt
Filed under: uncultured bacterium
Lineage: Bacteria
Description: bacterial SSU rRNA
Rfam family: Bacterial small subunit ribosomal RNA
Source: RNAcentral